UAACUUUAGAUUAAAUAGGAAUACCUACUAAAUUUAAAUAUAUUAAUAAGUAGAAGAAAAAAAACUAAUAAGGAUUACUUUAGUAAUAAUAAGUAAAGUAGUAAUAGUUUAAAUUUAAAAUCUAGCUUCUAAGGUUUAAGUUAGAAUUUAUAGAAGAUAUUUUAAGUAUAAUACCUUCUAAGUUCUUUAAAAUAAGAUACUAUAGAAAGUAAAAGCCCUAUAUAAUUAGAUAUUAAGUUUAUAUAAAGUUUUUUUAAUAAAUUAAAUAGUUUAAAAAUACUACUUAAAAUAAGAAGUAUAUUUCUUCUAAAACUAAAUACUAACUAGAGAUUAAUAAUAUAUAAGUAGAAUAAUUAAAAAAUAAAAAGUAUUUUAAGAAAAAAAUUAAAUAGUAUAUAAAGUCAUUAAAAAAGAAGUAUUUAUAAUUAGACUUAUACUUAGUAGAUUACCUAGCUUUUAUAGCUAGAAUACUCCACUAGCUCAAGCUAGUAUUAACUUACUAUUAAGAAUAAAACCUUUAGGAAUAUAGCUCUUUCUAAAAAAUAUUAUAACUUAUUAUAUAAUACCUUUUAGUAGACUAAAGUAUACGUUUUAUAAAAAUACUAGUAUAAUAGUUAUUAGCAACCUAUCUUAAAACAUAAACUAAAGAGUUAACUUUAUAUAUAAAUAUUUAAAUAUCAAACUUUUAUAUAUAAUAAAAGUAAAUAUAGGUAAGAGUUUUAACAUAUUAUUAACUAAUCUUAAUAUUCUUAAAUAGAUUUAAAUAAGAAUAUAUAGAGUUAGACUUAAAAGAAAGUAAAUUAUGUAUAUAUAGAGUGAAACUAGAAGAAACUCUAGUAGAGGCUUAUAAUAGUUCUAAUAUAUAAAUUAAUUAUCAAAUAUAUAUAUAGAAGCAAAAGACUAAUUAAACCUUUUAAUAAUUAGUUUCUACUAAAGCUUCGUUUAAAAUAGUAAUAUUAAACUUAGUUUUAUAAAAUAAAGUGAAUAAUUAGGGAUUUAGAAGUACUAUAUUACUUUUAUCUAUUCUUAAACUUUAAAUAUAUAAAAAGCUUUUAUUAUUUAGUUAAAUAUAGGUAUUUAAAUAUAUUAAUACUAAUAGGCUAUUUUUAAUAAGUAGAAUUAGUAAUAUAAGAUAAACUAAAUAUAAACUUAAAGUAUUAGAAUAGAUACUUAUUAAAUAUUAUAAAAAGUAUUAGUAUAUCUUAAUAGUAGGAUAAUAGCUAUAGAAGUUGGAAUCUACUAAAAACUAUAUAAUAACUUACCUACUAAAUAUAUUAGCUUUAAAAAUAGAUAAUACUUAAGUAUCUUACUUAUACCUCACUUUUAGUAUAAAAAUAAUAUACUAUCAAAUAAGUAGAUAUAGAAAUUAGUAAUAAAGCUUAAAGUAUAAACUUAGGUAGAAUAGCUUUUAGUAUAAAUCUUAGUAAUAAUAAUAAAUACUUCAAUAAGAACUUAAAAGAUUAAAAUAAAGAAAAAUUCUAUAUAAAUAAUAGUUAAAUAUAAAUUAGUUAAUCUUAAGCUAUAAAAAAAUUCUAUUUUAAAAAAAUAUUUAUACUUUAUAUAAUAAAAAAAAACUAGUUAAUAUUCUAAUAUCUAGAUAUAGGUUUUAUAUAGUAAUAUAACUAAAUAUAGAGAUAAUAGUAGGGGCUUUAGGUAGAAUUCUCUUUUCUUCUUAAUAGUCUAUUAUUCUAAAAUUAAUUUAUCUAAAGCUAAAAUUUAAUAACUAGAAAAACUUAGUACUUCUAUUAAAUCUAAUAUAUUUUUAAUAUCUUUUAAAAAUCUAUAGGAAGGAAUAAUUCUUAUAUUAAAUUAUACUUAUAAUUAUAAUAAAUCUUUAAAAUAAAUAGUUUCUAGUUAAUAGAAUAAUAUAUAUAAAAGAAGUUAGUAAAAUAGAUCUAUAAUUUUAGAAUAAAGAUUAGUUCUAAAAGUUAAAUAUAUUAAAUUUUAAAUAGAUAGCUUAGGAAUAAGUUAUUACUAGCUAGGUAAUUAGUUAGAAGUUUCUAAUAUCUAAAUUCUAAUAUUUUCAGUAAGUUUUAGCUAUUUAGUAUAUAAUUAAUAACUAAUUUAAAACUAGUAUAAAUAAGGGGAAUCUAACUAUUUAAUUAAAAUAUAGUAUUAUAAUAACUAGAAAGUAGUAUUAAUAUAAUAUAAUUUCUAUUUAAUAUUCUAAAUAUUAAAGUAAAAUAAUUUAAUUAAGUAUAAGUAAAUAGUAGGAAUAAUUAUGAUUAAACCGAGAGGGUUAUUAAAAUAAUAUUAAAAAAAGCAACUACUAAUAAAGUUUUAUACUUUAUAAUACUAUUAAAUUAUAAGGACUUCUUAAAGCCUUCUAUUAUUACGACUAAUUAGAAAUAAUUAGUAUAAUAUUUAGGUUAAUAGUUUAAGGGAUAGUAAUAAUAUAGUUAGUAUAGGAUAACUAUAUAGCUAAGCUUUAUAUUUCUCUUAUAAGAAAUAGAAGUAUAGUUUAAUAACUAAAUAGUAGUAGGUUUAGGAGGUAUUAUAGUAUAUAUUUAAAUUUAAAAUAUAAUCUAUAAUAAGUUAAAAAACUAAUACUAAUAUAUAAGUUUUUAAAAUAACUAAAUACCUUAUUAUCUAAUUAGUAAUAUAUAUAAAUAGAUUAAUAAGAUUCCUAUUAUUCCUAUUUAUUAUUUAGUAAAACUAUAGUUAAAAGAAUAAAUUUAAUAGAAUUAGUAGGGAAAGAAGACCUUAUUAAGCUUAAUUCUAGUUUAAUAUUAUAAAAAAAUAUAGGAGGUAUAGAAUAAGUAGGAGCUUUAGCAUUAGUAAAAUACUACUACUCCUAUUAUUUUUUUAUUUAUUUAAUAAAAUAAGGCUAGAUUUAUAUCUAACUUCUAGUUUUAAAGUUUUUUAUAAGCUGAUUUAAGUUAAAAAUAUUAUUAGAUAAAAGUUUUAACUAAAAUAGUAUAUCUAUUAAACUAUAAUAUAAAUAUCCUAAAAAAAGCUUAUAGAGAAUAGAAAUCUCUAGUAGAAUAAAAAAGUAAAGAUCCUCUUAAUUUUAAUUUUUAGUAUAAAUAUAAACUAUAAAAGUAUAACCUAUCAAUCUUUUAAUCCCUUAAAAUUUAAAACUAGAGGUAUUAGAAAAGUUACUAUAAGGAUUAAUAAUUAGUCUUAAGUAUUAUAAUAGAAAGUAAUAUUUAGUCUAAUACCUUCUAUAUAAUAUUAGAAAGUAUUCACUAUUUCUAAUAAUUUAAUAUAACUUCUAACUAAAGCUAUAAGUAAAAUAUUUAGAUAUAGGGAAGCUUUAAUAGGUUAGUAGUAAUAAGCUUUAGAAUAAUACCCUAUAAUAAAAUCUUUUCUAAAAUAGCUAAUAAUCUACUAAAUAGAAAUAAUCUAUAAUUAAUCUAAUUAUAACUAAAUAGUUUAAUACUUAGUAAAAUAUUAAUAAAAAGGUAACUUCUUACUUAAAGUAUAAAUUAUACCUACUUAAGAAAGUAUUAUAUCUACUAACUAUAUUAACUAUAAAAUAUAGAAUAAACUAUAUUAUAAUAACUUAUAAGUAUUAUAAAACUAACUUAUAAUAACUAAGUAUUUAUAAUAAUAUUACUUUUUAAUCUUUUAAUAUUAGCUCUUCCUAUUAUACUAAAGUAGAAUUCAAUAAGUAUUAGAUUAUUUACCUAUUAAUAAGGAAUAUAAGCUAAAUUUAAACUAUUAUAAGAUAGAUUAAUGUUAUCCUAUUAAUAACCUUAUUAUAAUAAUAAUUAAACUUAAUAUAAGAAGAACUACUUAUUUAGAUAAUUAGUUUUUAUAACUAUCUAACUAAGUAGUAUUAUAAUACUACUAUUUAUUAAAUAAUAGCUAAAUACUUCUAAAUUAAAAUCUAUAUUAGAAUAUAAUAAUACUUCUUAUAUAUAUAGAUAGAUAUAAAUAGGUUUUAACUUAGUAUCUUAAUAAAUAAUUACUCUACUACUUUUAAAGUAAGUAGUAGUAUUUCGCAAAUUAUAGUUUUAAUAUAAAUAGAGUUAAAUCUUUUAUAAAUAACUUAGAUAUAUAAAAAAAUCUUAUAAGUAGUAAAAUAACCUUAUUAUUAUAAUCUAUUAAAAAUAAACCUUUUUUUACUUUAAUUUCC
This 4081-nucleotide ribosomal RNA is filed under the name Colletotrichum orbiculare MAFF 240422. RNAcentral's name for it is "Eukaryotic large subunit ribosomal RNA". It matches the Rfam family "Eukaryotic large subunit ribosomal RNA". The record is from Rfam by way of RNAcentral. Lineage: Eukaryota; Fungi; Ascomycota; Sordariomycetes; Glomerellales; Glomerellaceae.